RNAcentral lists this ribosomal RNA (274 nucleotides) under uncultured bacterium. RNAcentral describes it as "partial 16S ribosomal RNA". It matches the Rfam family "Archaeal small subunit ribosomal RNA", at positions 473 to 747 of the family's 1478-position model. The record is from RNAcentral.
AAACCAGCAUCUCAAGUGGUCAGGAUGAUUAUUGGGCCUAAAGCAUCCGUAGCCUGCUUUGUCAGUUUUCGGUUAAAUCCAUACGCUCAACGUAUGGGCUGCCGGAAAUACUGCAUAGCUAGGGAGUGGGAGAGGUAGACGGUACUCGGGAGGAAGGGGUAAAAUCCUUUGAUCUCUCGAUGACCACCUGUGGCGAAGGCGGUCUACCAGAACACGUCCGACGGUGAGGGAUGAAAGCUGGGGGAGCAAACCGGAUUAGAAACCCGGGUAGUCC